GGGGAUUUAGCUCAGCGGCAUAAGCGCCUGCCUUGCAAGCAGGUGGUCGUGAGUUCGAUCCCCG
Transfer RNA from Cavia porcellus (domestic guinea pig), 64 nucleotides. It matches the Rfam family "tRNA". From Rfam's summary of the family: Transfer RNA (tRNA) molecules are approximately 80 nucleotides in length. Their secondary structure includes four short double-helical elements and three loops (D, anti-codon, and T loops). Lineage: Eukaryota; Metazoa; Chordata; Mammalia; Rodentia; Caviidae. The record is from Rfam.